UACGUAGGGUGCAAGCGUUGUCCGGAAUUAUUGGGCGUAAAGAGCUCGUAGGUGGCCUGUCGCGUCGGCUGUGAAAACUCGGGGCUCAACUCCGAGCUUGCAGUCGAUACGGGCAGGCUAGAGUUCGGCAGGGGAGACUGGAAUUCCUGGUGUAGCGGUGAAAUGCGCAGAUAUCAGGAGGAACACCGGUGGCGAAGGCGGGUCUCUGGGCCGAUACUGACGCUGAGGAGCGAAAGCGUGGGGAGCAAACGGG
Molecule: ribosomal RNA, 253 nt
Filed under: uncultured bacterium
Lineage: Bacteria
Description: partial 16S ribosomal RNA
Rfam family: Bacterial small subunit ribosomal RNA
Source: RNAcentral